UACGUAGGGUGCAAGCGUUGUCCGGAAUUAUUGGGCGUAAAGGGCUCGUAGGCGGUCCAUCACGUCGGGGAGUGAAAAGCUGGGGCUUAACCCCAGUCCUGCUUCCGAUACGGGUGGACUAGAGGUAGGCAGGGGAGAACGGAAUUCCUGGUGUAGCGGUGAAAUGCGCAGAUAUCAGGAGGAACACCGGUGGCGAAGGCGGGUCUCUGGGCCGAUACUGACGCUGAGGAGCGAAAGCGUGGGGAGCGAACAGG
Molecule: ribosomal RNA, 254 nt
Filed under: uncultured bacterium
Lineage: Bacteria
Description: partial 16S ribosomal RNA
Rfam family: Bacterial small subunit ribosomal RNA
Source: RNAcentral